UUCCACAAAGAUUCAUGUUUUAUUUCCCAGGAUGCUUUAUGAAAAGUUAUUUCCAUGCAAAGAUCAAAACAACUAUCUUUGAGUCAGAGAGUAAGCUGUGAGGUGCAGUGCUCCCGUGACGCCAACAAAUUAAGUAACAAUUUCACAGCCAGCAAAAAAAAGGAACAUGACAUCAACAUGAGCCGCCUUUUAUAGACAACACCAUCUCAACCCGAGAGAGCCACUGCCGUCUUAAAAAAAAAUCCAAAGAUUGUCUCUGCAGCGAGGGUGCUCGUUUCUGUGACCUCACACUGUAAUUAUAAAGUCUGACACAAUAGUUCACCUAAACCUGAAAGACAUUACCACACCACGUGGGUGUAGUUCACAAAGCAGAUUAGUGCUUUUUAUAAAUAAACAUAAAUACAAUUAAGUUUGACUUUUUACACGUCGGCAUGCCAAUCAGAGUCAAUUUUUUUAAGCAUCAAUCUGAUGUAGCAUCAGGAAUCAUUUGGCAAUUUCAUCAAAGUCAUUUACUGUACACAUUUUGUUUUUUUUGUCCUCACAGUCAUGUAGCCAAACUGGAAAAGCCUGCAUUAGGAAACACACAGAAAGCUCUAUGAAGCUAUUGUUGUUUACUGUCGAGUCAGCAGCUCAAAGCCACCAAUGAGCUCAGGGAAACGCUGACUCUACCAGAUCUGAAGAGCAAAACGGUGGUUUGGUUUAUCAAAGUCUACUACGUAGCCCUUAAAUAACAGGAUGCCAGUCACAGGUUUUGAUGCUUCAUGCAUAGAAUUCUGCAACAUGUCACUGCACAUAACAGGCAUUCCCACAAAGUGCACCAUUUGGAAACAUAAUAAAAAUCUCACAGACUGAAGCGUUACCUGCUCAGAAACAAGUAAAAAACCAAAACCAAACAGAUGCCGUAACAUCACAACAAAGUGUCUCAUUUUUUAAAUAAUAAAUUAUUAGCAUUAGUUUUUUUUUUCCCUUUUCUUUUUUUUUUUUUUUCUUUUUAAAGCAACUAGCGAGCUUUCAUCCACUGGAUAAUAGUACACCACUUGGAUCAGUGAGAGAGUAGAGAAUGAUAGUCAUUGCACAACCAAAGCUUAACAAUUCACCUGUCCAAUACACAUUAACAGGCUUGUGUUCCAACACAAGCAGCCCACGGGUAAUCAGUAACCCUCACCAGUAAAUAGGCAGGCGAGAGGAUGCUUGUCAUCUAACCGUUUGCUCAGUGCAACUUUUAAAAUGUAGCCCUUGAUAAGAAGCUCUGAAAAAAUAUAGACACUUCCUUCAAAUCUUUCUUAAAUCCUGAUAGUCCACUACCUACCGAGGUAUAGUGUAGAGAGCGAUGCAAUACGAAUUCAUUCACAGUCUGACCAAAGUUAAGUUAAAUAAACGCUAUAUACACAGUCAGGGCUUCAACAGGCGAUAAAUGAGCCGUUUUUGAGCCUUGAAGAAGCUUCAGUAGGACACUUGACAGGAGCAAGGCCAAGAUCGCUGUCAGAGGGUAUGGGGGUGGGUUUGGCGAUCCGGGGGUUUUCUUUUUUGGCACUUCUUGGUGAAGUUUAGGAGAUGGGUGACAGGGAUACAGGGCACUGCCCGUUGUUGUUCAUGAUGUCAUCCAAGUCCUCAUCAUCCAGGUCCACUGAGGAGGAAAAAGCAGACAAGCAGUUAUUAUAAUAAUCACAUAUUAGCUACAAUUCAAUUCAAUUCAAUUUUAUUCAAACAGCGCCAAAUCGCAACAACAGUCGCCUCAAGGUGCUUUAUAUUGUAAGGUAGACCCUAUAAUAAUACAUAGAGAAAACCCAACAAUCAUAUCACCCCCCUAUGAGCAAUCACUUUGGUGACAGUGGGAAGGAAAAACUCUCUUUUAACAGGAAGAAACUUCUGGCAUAACCAGGCUCAGGGAGGGGCGGGGCCAUCUGCCACCACCGGUUGGGGUGAGAGGAGCAAGACAGAUUAGCUACUUAAGCAAAAUGAAAUUUAAAGGGGCAAGAAGGGUGAGCCCAUGCACAGUUGAAAGAUUAUCCAAGUAAAAAAUUCUUAGACAUGCCAAGACUGAUCUGAAAUACAAACUCUAGACCCCACAUGGAUACACACCCUCUGGACAGCUAUAUAACUGUGGGCAUAAGCGAUCAGCGGACUCAGAGUUCCUCGUCGUCCCAACGAACACUUUGAAGACUUCAGAGUAAGAAGAAACACCUUUGGCAUCAUGUCCAGGAUCACCGCGGUAACGAUCUUGCUCAUCAUUCUCGUCAACAGCUUGUGCAGCAGCGCAGCUCCUUCCCAUGGAGUAUCCCUGUAUAUUCGCAAGUGCAGAUGCACAGAGAUUUCCACAGGCAGGUUUAAGUGUCCCAAACCGCUCAUGCCCACAAACUACAACAAGCAGCGGGAUCUGGUUAAAUGCGUCUGCAAAAAAAUACAAGAAGAGAAGCGUUCAGAUCUUCUACGGUUCUGCCGUGUGAACUACAAAAAGAAAUUUGCUGAACUGCUCUGAGAUGAACAAGUUGAAUGACUGACUAACCAAACUUAACAUCCUGUUACGUAUGACAUUAAUCUUGUUAUGUAGAUGUUUGUGAUUUUUUCUGAAAUUGUAAAUAAAGACAGAUAUUUUUUUAUUACAUACAGUCUCGUGUCCUUUUGUGUUUCCACAUAUUUAACUGAAAAAGUCCUCAAUCUUGAAAACUAAUAAAAUGAACAUUUUUAAUAUCCAAUUAUUCAAUUUUUUGUCCAUUGUUUUAGUAUUUUGAAACUUUAAAAAUAUGAAAGGGAAACCAUUAUUGUUAAAUGUGAUUUGGUCUCACUCUGAAUUGUGUUCAUAGAUUUCAUAGAGACAAUAACAUAAAUACAUUGAUUAACAUUGAACCAUUUCUAUGGAGGAUUACUUGUUUCCCAGCUUCC
Molecule: long non-coding RNA, 2883 nt
Organism: Oreochromis aureus
Lineage: Eukaryota; Metazoa; Chordata; Actinopteri; Cichliformes; Cichlidae
Source: Ensembl